This 330-nucleotide long non-coding RNA is filed under the name Lathyrus oleraceus (garden pea). RNAcentral describes it as "Pisum sativum (pea) long non-coding RNA (PSAT_LNC010667)". Lineage: Eukaryota; Viridiplantae; Streptophyta; Magnoliopsida; Fabales; Fabaceae. The record is from RNAcentral.
AACUAGUACAUUGUAUCAGGUAAAAUGUUUCCAAUAAAUUAGGAACUCUUUCUACCUUUAUUAGUUUAUCAUAUUGAGUUUAAUAUUUAUAAAAUAUUUUUAAUGUAUUUCGGUUUACAUUGUUGGAACAAAGCUUUCCAUUUUUGGAGUGUAUCUCAUUUUUACAUUUUUGUCUCACGAAAGCUCUGACGAAGCUUUCCAAUCAUUUACCUUUUGGUUUUAUUUAUACUUUUUUUUUCUUCAUACAAGUAAUUUUUUGGUUUUAUUUCUAGCUUUAAUGUUAACUUUGCUUUGAGUUUUAUUUUAUUUUAUUUUUUUGUUAAAUGGUUU